AGAGCGAACGCUGGCGGCAGGCUUAACACAUGCAAGUCGAGCGGGCGUAGCAAUACGUCAGCGGCAGACGGGUGAGUAACGCGUGGGAACAUACCUUUUGGUUCGGAACAACACAGGGAAACUUGUGCUAAUACCGGAUAAGCCCUUACGGGGAAAGAUUUAUCGCCGAAAGAUUGGCCCGCGUCUGAUUAGCUAGUUGGUGAGGUAACGGCUCACCAAGGCGACGAUCAGUAGCUGGUCUGAGAGGAUGAUCAGCCACAUUGGGACUGAGACACGGCCCAAACUCCUACGGGAGGCAGCAGUGGGGAAUAUUGGACAAUGGGCGCAAGCCUGAUCCAGCCAUGCCGCGUGAGUGAUGAAGGCCCGUAGGGUUGUAAAGCUCUUUUGUGCGGGAAGAUAAUGACGGUACCGCAAGAAUAACGCCCCGGCUAACUUCGUGCCAGCAGCCGC
RNAcentral lists this ribosomal RNA (450 nucleotides) under uncultured bacterium. RNAcentral describes it as "SSU rRNA". It matches the Rfam family "Bacterial small subunit ribosomal RNA", at positions 26 to 518 of the family's 1533-position model. The record is from RNAcentral.